RNAcentral lists this ribosomal RNA (219 nucleotides) under uncultured bacterium. RNAcentral's name for it is "partial 16S ribosomal RNA". It matches the Rfam family "Bacterial small subunit ribosomal RNA", at positions 524 to 741 of the family's 1533-position model. The record is from RNAcentral.
UACGUAGGGUGCGAGCGUUGUCCGGAUUUAUUGGGCGUAAAGAGCUCGUAGGCGGCUUGUCGCGUCGGAUGUGAAAGCCCGGGGCUUAACUCCGGGUCUGCAUUCGAUACGGGCAGGCUAGAGUGUGGUAGGGGAGAUCGGAAUUCCUGGUGUAGCGGUGAAAUGCGCAGAUAUCAGGAGGAACACCGGUGGCGAAGGCGGUUAGCUGGGACAGUUGCU